GGCAUACAUUGUGGCUGACAGUGAUGUAUUGGCUUAUGUGGAAAACAUUGAGAUUAAUCCAUAUAAAUACGCAGGCUUAAGGACCAAUCACUGUCACUGGACCCAGAGGAGCACAGGAAGGAGACAGCAGAGGAGAGGAAGAACUGGAUAAAGAAGUGGUGAAGGAAUGCCCUGAGUUUGUGAGACAGAAAAUCACAAACAAAGAGUUUUGGAAGACAAAUAAAAGAAAGCUGCUGACCUUUGGUGUCCUUUGACAGCCUGAUCAUGAUAUCUACCCACCCUUUGACCUUCCUGACCCUGGGCAUGGUCCUAACUCAGAGUGGAUGUAUGCUCCCUGAGAGUCACCACUGGGAGGACUCGAAUGGCUCCCAGCUGCAUCCCACCAUCCAGAAACUAAUGAAGGGAUAUAACCGCUACA
Molecule: non-coding RNA, 418 nt
Organism: Oncorhynchus mykiss (rainbow trout)
Lineage: Eukaryota; Metazoa; Chordata; Actinopteri; Salmoniformes; Salmonidae
Source: RefSeq, a predicted model, not a curated record